GAUGAAGAACGUAGCGAAAUGCGAUAAGUAAUGUGAAUUGCAGAAUUCAGUGAAUCAUCGAAUCUUUGAACGCACCUUGCGCUCCUUGGUAUUCCGAGGAGCAUGCCUGUUUGAGUGUCAUGAAAUUCUCAACCUUUUCAGCUUUCUUUGUUGAUCAGGCUUGGAUGUGGGAGUAUGCGGGCUUCUCAGAAGUCGGCUCUCCUGAAAUGCAUUAGCGGGACCUUUGUUGCCUGGCUUUGGUGUGAUAAUUAUCUACGCCAUUGUAGUCAAGCAGCUUAAAAUGAGGUUUCAGCUUCUAACCGUCUCCCCUGAGACAACUUUUUGACAAUUUGACCUCAAAUCAGGUAGGACUACCAGCUGAACUUAAGCAUAUCAAUAAGCGGAGGA
Molecule: unclassified non-coding RNA, 387 nt
Filed under: soil metagenome
Description: partial contains 5.8S ribosomal RNA, internal transcribed spacer 2, and large subunit ribosomal RNA
Rfam family: 5.8S ribosomal RNA (bases 1-120)
Source: RNAcentral